AGGAAUAUUGAAAAUUGUGUAUGUGAAUAUACAUAGUCCUCUAACAUGCCACGGUCUUCAGAAGGAUGCAGGCCUUGGAGACUGCUGUUGUGGAUGGCAAUGAGUGUGACUCAUCUGGCUAUGGAGCUGGAAGUGUAAUAUCAAAGAAAAUAAAUAAGAAGACUGAAAAGAGCAUUAAAUGAGGAAAUGAGGCAUGAAUGCGUGAGACAGAGAUGUUGGGAUUACGAAUUACUAAGAAAACCAAGCAGAUGUGAAUUUUCUUCUCAUGGAGAGAUGGCAAACCUGGCCCAGACAUGGAGUAACAAAAUUCUAAAUGUGGCAAUGGCCAUUCUUUUUUGGUCUAUCUGUUUGUACUGGAUGUUUUGGUGUUGGUUUUCUCUUUUAACCUCAUUCAGAGUAUGUGUUUUUGAAGAACCAUAGACUAAUUUGUUGCAAUCCACGUUAAAAUGUUCCCUUGUAUACAGAUGGGUAACGAAUAAAAUUCAAAAAAGUAAUUUAGUUAAUGGGUUUUUAAAGGUCCGUGGAGUGUCUUCGAGUGGUUCAGGUAGGUAAAAUUCAUUCUUUAAUAUCCCCUAUUGUUUUUUUCUCCAUUUUUUCUUUUUUUUCUCUGGUGAUGGACUGAAUAAAUAUUUUUUCUAUUUUCCAGAUUACUUUAUAUAUUCUUGUUUUCCAGCCACUCUUCCCCAAGCCUGU
Long non-coding RNA from Cuculus canorus (common cuckoo), 693 nucleotides. RefSeq lists it as uncharacterized. The record is from RefSeq and is a predicted model, not a curated record. Lineage: Eukaryota; Metazoa; Chordata; Aves; Cuculiformes; Cuculidae. The transcript has 3 exons.